RNAcentral lists this ribosomal RNA (497 nucleotides) under uncultured bacterium. Its description in RNAcentral is "partial 16S ribosomal RNA". It matches the Rfam family "Bacterial small subunit ribosomal RNA", at positions 28 to 507 of the family's 1533-position model. The record is from RNAcentral.
GAUGAACGCUGGCGGCGUGCCUAAUACAUGCAAGUCGAGCGAACAGACGAGGAGCUUGCUCCUCUGACGUUAGCGGCGGACGGGUGAGUAACGCGUGGAUAACCUACCUAUAAGACUGGGAUAACUUCGGGAAACCGGAGCUAAUACCGGAUAAUAUAUUGAACCGCAUGGCUCAAUAGUGAAAGACGGUUUUGCUGUCACUUAUAGAUGGAUCCGCGCCGCAUUAGCUAGUUGGUAAGGUAACGGCCUACCAAGGCGACGAUGCGUAGCCGACCUGAGAGGGUGAUCGGCCACACUGGAACUGAGACACGGUCCAGACUCCUACGGGAGGCAGCAGUAGGGAAUCUUCCGCAAUGGGCGAAAGCCUGACGGAGCAACGCCGCGUGAGUGAUGAAGGUCUUCGGAUCGUAAAACUCUGUUAUUAGGGAAGAACAAAUGUGUAAGUAACUAUGCACGUCUUGACGGUACCUAAUCAGAAAGCCACGGCUAACUACGUG